GGCUAAAUACCAAAUACUCCGCACAUAUCACAUGAUGUAUGCGGGAAAGCUUUUGCGGUAAGAGAUGGGUCGCGGCCCAUUAGGUAGACGGCGGGGUAGAAGCCCACCGUGCCGAUGAUGGGUAGCCGGGUUGAGAGACCGACCGGCCACAUUGGGACUGAGAUACGGCCCAGACUCCUACGGGAGGCAGCAGUGGGGAAUAUUGCGCAAUGGGGGAAACCCUGACGCAGCAACGCCGCGUGCGGGAUGAAGGCCUUCGGGUUGUAAACCGCUUUCAGCAGGGAAGACAUCGACGGUACCUGCAGAAGAAGCCCCGGGCUAACUACGUGCCAGCAGCCGCGGUAAAU
RNAcentral lists this ribosomal RNA (347 nucleotides) under uncultured Coriobacteriaceae bacterium. RNAcentral describes it as "bacterial SSU rRNA". It matches the Rfam family "Bacterial small subunit ribosomal RNA", at positions 160 to 525 of the family's 1533-position model. Lineage: Bacteria; Bacillati; Actinomycetota; Coriobacteriia; Coriobacteriales; Coriobacteriaceae. The record is from RNAcentral.